This 484-nucleotide ribosomal RNA is filed under the name uncultured bacterium. RNAcentral's name for it is "partial 16S ribosomal RNA". It matches the Rfam family "Bacterial small subunit ribosomal RNA", at positions 30 to 507 of the family's 1533-position model. The record is from RNAcentral.
AUUGAACGCUGGCGGAAUGCUUUACACAUGCAAGUCGAACGGCAGCACGGGGGCAGCCCUGGUGGCGAGUGGCGAACGGGUGAGUAAUACAUCGGAACGUGCCCGGUCGUGGGGGAUAACGUAGCGAAAGUUACGCUAAUACCGCAUACGAUCUGAGGAUGAAAGCGGGGGACCUUCGGGCCUCGCGCGAUCGGAGCGGCCGAUGUCAGAUUAGGUAGUUGGUGGGGUAAAGGCCUACCAAGCCGACGAUCUGUAGCUGGUCUGAGAGGACGACCAGCCACACUGGAACUGAGACACGGCCCAGACUCCUACGGGAGGCAGCAGUGGGGAAUUUUGGACAAUGGGCGCAAGCCUGAUCCAGCCAUUCCGCGUGAAGGACGAAGGCCUUCGGGUUGUAAAAUGCUUUUGUACGGAACGAAAAGGCUCUGGCUAAUACCUGGGGCUCAUGACGGUACCGUAAGAAUAAGCACCGGCUAACUACGUG